CCAGUUCCUCCGUCCUCUUCUACAUGCAGCAUGGCAGCAGGAAAGAACUCACGAUGCUCCUCUCAGCGGUUUCUUCAAAUGUUACACAUUUGAAACGAAAAUCUAUCCAGUUUUUCUGCAGCAAGCCUGACCGCUGUAUGGAUUCCAGCUGGGAAUGGUGUCUGGGUGACUUGCAUGAAGGCUAAAGAUGGCUUCCACAGAAAAAGCUUCAUGCCUAUCGGACAAAGAUCUGAGGUUGCUGUGUUUCACACGCUCCUGAGAUGGAAGCUCUUGGUUGGCUAUGACCUCGCUGAGUUUGAGACCUGGAUUGUGCACGAGUCAACAAAUGGGAAAGUUACCACAUGAUUCUGCUGGUUAUGGACUUGUAUUUGAAUGGUUCCUUUUUGUCUUCACUGGCCAGAAAACAGCUGCCCUCAAGCAAGAUGAAUAUACCUGAAUGACAAAACUACAACUCUUUGUUUAAUGAAGGACAAUAUAAUGGUGUCUGGUAACUGUUUUGACAAAUAAACUCUAUAAAAUAA
Molecule: long non-coding RNA, 521 nt
Organism: Notothenia coriiceps (black rockcod)
Lineage: Eukaryota; Metazoa; Chordata; Actinopteri; Perciformes; Nototheniidae
Exons: 4
Source: RefSeq, a predicted model, not a curated record